UACAGAGGUCUCAAGCGUUGUUCGGAUUCAUUGGGCGUAAAGGGUGCGUAGGCGGCGCGGUAAGUCGGGUGUGAAAUCUCGGGGCUUAACUCCGAAACUGCACUCGAUACUGGCGUGCUUGAGGACUGGAGAGGAGACUGGAAUUCAUGGUGUAGCAGUGAAAUGCGUAGAGAUCAUGAGGAAGACCAGUGGCGAAGGCGGGUCUCUGGACAGUUCCUGACACUGAGACACGAAGGCCAGGGGAGCAAACGGG
This 253-nucleotide ribosomal RNA is filed under the name uncultured bacterium. Its description in RNAcentral is "partial 16S ribosomal RNA". It matches the Rfam family "Bacterial small subunit ribosomal RNA", at positions 524 to 776 of the family's 1533-position model. The record is from RNAcentral.